RNAcentral lists this long non-coding RNA (674 nucleotides) under Solanum tuberosum (potato). RNAcentral's name for it is "long non-coding RNA (STUB_LNC009896)". The record is from RNAcentral. Lineage: Eukaryota; Viridiplantae; Streptophyta; Magnoliopsida; Solanales; Solanaceae.
GGGGGAGAAGGUGCCCCUUCUGCUAAGUUGGAGCUAGGGAAGUUAAAGCAGGACGUCUGGUGCGACGUCGUCCUUAUGGACGUAUUACAUAUCCUACUCGUACUACCAAGGUCUUCCGAGUAGGGUUCUACCUGCGUAGAGAGAACACCGCCUUAUUUUUAACGGGAAACGCGGUUAUUGCCAUCAGAAGACUUUGGUUGGCUAAGGAGAAAGGGUGUUUGUUGGCAUACCAUUUCUGGACGUGGGAAAGAGUCCAUAGAAUGCUAUGCCUUGAUAGCAACAAAGCCAACUAGCAGAGCCGAUUCGGGGAUCGGUGGGAUGCCGUAGCUUUAAGAGAUAGGGGCGGAGGCAAUCGGAAAGGCUUUUUAGGAACGAGGCCCCCCCUCCUAUGUUGUAAAAGGGAAGUGCAGAUCUUUAUCUUUCUGCAACACUCUUCCGACUUGAUGCCGCCCCUGAAUCCGCAAGUACCGGCUUGAUUACCCCCUAAGAUAAGAGGAGGAUAUAGAAGCAGAUUUAGUUGCAGGUAGGAGCGAGUCUACCCUGCAAAGCGGCUUCUCGCUUAUCCCCAUUUUCCAAUGAGGAGAUCCGACGUCAAGUGCAGGAAUUGCUGUCAAAGGGGCGGGAGAGUCUCAGUCCGUGCUCAACGCCUGCUUGACUAGCUCAAAAGGAAGCAG